This is an RNA transcript of Scylla paramamosain (green mud crab), 2781 nucleotides long. RefSeq lists it as uncharacterized. NCBI's taxonomy places the organism in Eukaryota, Metazoa, Arthropoda, Malacostraca, Decapoda, Portunidae. The record is from RefSeq and is a predicted model, not a curated record. The transcript has 13 exons.
UAACUCGUCGCGUUCCAGUGGCGGAGUCGUGGCGCCCAGGCAUGAAGGUCUAAAUGUUACUGUGGCGGCGGUCUGAGGAACGAACCAAGACGCCAGUGUGAAGCAGCGAGGUGUAACUGAUUCCUGGUGUUGCAUACACUCAAGAGAAAAAAAGAAUUGUGUCUUUUGACAAUAAACUGAAAAUCUAAACCAUUCCGCAUCAUAAAGUCUGAAGAAGGGAAGACGCUUCUGACGCUAGACACACUAAAAGGAAGAAAAAUAAAAUAAUAAAAUAAAUAAAUAAAUAAAUAAAAAAAAAGAUACAAAACAUAAACAGGUGUGAAGCAAGAAGUCUCCAUCUAGUGCCCCUCCCGCCCCCCCCCCCCCCAAAAAAAAGCCCUUUUGACGGUAAAUAAAAAAUCCAAACAAUUCUACAAACCAAAUCAUUGUUGUGUAAGAACCGAACGAGUGGGUGUGUGAGGAACAGCCUCUGAAUGUGCCGCCCUCGAGGUGGUAACGGCCGUAGGAGCCAGCAUGGCGUGGAGGGCACGGCUGCAUGUGCCUGGAGGAAUGCGGCGGGCAGGCGCUUGGGUCACGAUGGUCGUCAUGCUGUGUUUAUCAUCCGCAGCAGGUGAGUGUCUGAACCACAUCAGCGUGGCGGGAGGACUGCUGGUGAGAGGCGCCGGGGACUCCUUCUCUGUCAUGGUGGCGGUGAAGGAGACAGAGGCUGUGGGUCACCUGCUGUACUGGGUGACGUGGGACGAGGAUGUGACACCGUCCAUUCCCACCCAAGGAGACUUUGCUAACUAUUUCCACGUGGGCAACUCAUCAGCGAGGGAGUGGCGCGUCACCGUAAAGGAAUCGCUGGUCGGCCUGCCUGACUCCCCGCUCCUCAAGACAAUCAUUUCAACGUCAGUGGUGUUCCCGGCUUUCAGUGACGGUGACGUGUGCUCGCUGGUGCUGUCACAUCACCUGCAGGACGACAACACACAGGCGCCCGUGGUGGAGGCAUCCAGUUGGUUCCUACACAUUCCUAAGGACUUCCCGACCGGCACGCCUCUGCAGGGACUCACAGUGACGGUGACGGACAAGGACGCCGCAACGCCCAACAACCUGAUGGAGGUGGACGUGGAGGGCGUAUGUCCCCUGGCGGCAGAGGGAAGACAGUACGGGGGCGUGGCGGGAGAACAUCACCCCGUUCACUUCCACUUGAUUUCGCGACUCGAGGAACUGGUGAACCAAACCCUCAGCUGCACGAUUAAGGUCACGGACAUGGGGAGCCCACCGCUCUUCUCCCGCUCCUUGCUGACUGUUCACGUGUUGGAGGACUUGCCAACCACCACCACCACCACCACCCCCAUCACCCAUAGUAGUACCUUGGAGAUGGAGCUGCCCUUCUAUCUAGCGGAGGUGUGGCCCGGAAUGGAGGUCGGGUCGUUCUUAAACACGUUCCCAGCGCCAGUGAAGGUCAAAGGAGGUGAUCUAAUGCUGCCUCAGGUCACCUAUACCAUAAGGAACGCCUGGCCUGGAAUUAACGGGGCGGAGGUGUUUGCCAUCAACAGUUUGACGGGGCAGGUAUCCUUAGCGAGGGAGCUGGACGGGUCGUGGGCGGCGGGCUGCGACGACACUUCCUCCUUCGUUCCCUUGGUCAUCCAGGCACAAGACCAACGCGGCAGGGUCACCAUCGCCAUUCUGCAAGUUACAAUGAAGCCACAAGGCACAGCUUCCACCCGCACGCUACCUUCCACAACCUCUGCCCCGUCCCACCACCACGACUCCUCCACCGCCUGUCCCUGCCUCGCCUUCAGGAGCAGAGGACAACGCAGGCUGAGCUUCACAAGGCUUAGCUACACGGCGGAGGUGUUCUCAACGGACACCUUUGUGGGGAGGGUGGAGGCCAGGCUGGGGGCACGUGGAGGGCUCGUCCGCUAUUCCUGGGCCUCGCCGACGAACGUCACCAGUUUCAUUAUCAACAGCAACAGCGGGGUCAUCACCAUCGGGCCCUCCGGUGUGCCGCCGGGCCGCCACCUCCUCGCUGUCCGUGCCGCAGCUGGCUGCCUCCACGCCACGGCCCAGGUCAGCGUGCGGGUGCUGGAGAAGGAAGAUGAAAAGCCAGACGGCAGCAGCAGGCUGAGCAGGGUUCGAACCGAGAGCAUCUGCGAGCCGUGCGAGCUGCUCGGCCUGCAGGUGGCCGUGGGCGUGCUGGCCGCGUUGCUUGGGGUGGCUCUCAUCGCGGCGGGGGUUCUGGGCGUGCUGGUGUACAGGAGGGGUGGUGCAGGGAAAGCAGGAAACGUGUGGAGGAGAGCAGACAGGACGAGCAGGACGAGCGUGAUAUAGUGGCCCCAGGCUGCUCCUGUCUCGCGUCUCGGCUGCUGCUCAUUACUCAGCCUCUGCUUUAGGAACCCCCGCUCACAUCAGUCCUGCUCACACACCCGCCGCGGGGCCCACCCUCUGGUCUCAAAUUUUUCAGGCAACAGUGCAGCGACUGCAUGGAGCCAUAAGCCAUUCAGGAGCCACGUGUGUAUAAAUGACUGCCUGGCCGAUAUUCAUGUUCCCCAAUUUCAGGAGGAAGGCGAGAGAGGCGAAAGCACGAACGGAAGUGAAGCACAUUAGCACCCUCGGCAGCGCUUACCCCAACCUCUCCUUCAGCAGGGAGAGUCAGGAGUGAUCAGGACACAGGCCGGGAGGGGACAAAGUGCAGCUAAGGCACGCGCUGGCCUGGAUGACCUGGGGUGAGGACACAUUCACGCUGGCCGGGGACCAGGCUAAUGGAUAUAACGAACUCAUAUUUACAUUCUACCG